GGGUUGUGAGGUUAAGCGACUAAGCGUACACGGUGGAUGCCCUGGCAGUCAGAGGCGAUGAAGGACGUGCUAAUCUGCGAUAAGCGUCGGUAAGGUGAUAUGAACCGUUAUAACCGGCGAUUUCCGAAUGGGGAAACCCAGUGUGUUUCGACACACUAUCAUUAACUGAAUCCAUAGGUUAAUGAGGCGAACCGGGGGAACUGAAACAUCUAAGUACCCCGAGGAAAAGAAAUCAACCGAGAUUCCCCCAGUAGCGGCGAGCGAACGGGGAGCAGCCCAGAGCCUGAAUCAGUGUGUGUGUUAGUGGAAGCGUCUGGAAAGGCGCGCGAUACAGGGUGACAGCCCCGUACACAAAAAUGCACAUGCUGUGAGCUCGAUGAGUAGGGCGGGACACGUGGUAUCCUGUCUGAAUAUGGGGGGACCAUCCUCCAAGGCUAAAUACUCCUGACUGACCGAUAGUGAACCAGUACCGUGAGGGAAAGGCGAAAAGAACCCCGGCGAGGGGAGUGAAAAAGAACCUGAAACCGUGUACGUACAAGCAGUGGGAGCACGCUUAGGCGUGUGACUGCGUACCUUUUGUAUAAUGGGUCAGCGACUUAUAUUCUGUAGCAAGGUUAACCGAAUAGGGGAGCCGAAGGGAAACCGAGUCUUAACUGGGCGUUAAGUUGCAGGGUAUAGACCCGAAACCCGGUGAUCUAGCCAUGGGCAGGUUGAAGGUUGGGUAACACUAACUGGAGGACCGAACCGACUAAUGUUGAAAAAUUAGCGGAUGACUUGUGGCUGGGGGUGAAAGGCCAAUCAAACCGGGAGAUAGCUGGUUCUCCCCGAAAGCUAUUUAGGUAGCGCCUCGUGAACUCAUCUCCGGGGGUAGAGCACUGUUUCGGCAAGGGGGUCAUCCCGACUUACCAACCCGAUGCAAACUGCGAAUACCGGAGAAUGUUAUCACGGGAGACACACGGCGGGUGCUAACGUCCGUCGUGAAGAGGGAAACAACCCAGACCGCCAGCUAAGGUCCCAAAGUCAUGGUUAAGUGGGAAACGAUGUGGGAAGGCCCAGACAGCCAGGAUGUUGGCUUAGAAGCAGCCAUCAUUUAAAGAAAGCGUAAUAGCUCACUGGUCGAGUCGGCCUGCGCGGAAGAUGUAACGGGGCUAAACCAUGCACCGAAGCUGCGGCAGCGACGCU
RNAcentral lists this ribosomal RNA (1182 nucleotides) under Escherichia coli. Its description in RNAcentral is "partial 23S ribosomal RNA". It matches the Rfam family "Bacterial large subunit ribosomal RNA", at positions 1 to 1215 of the family's 2925-position model. Lineage: Bacteria; Pseudomonadati; Pseudomonadota; Gammaproteobacteria; Enterobacterales; Enterobacteriaceae. The record is from RNAcentral.